AUACAAUGGGUCGAACAUACCAA
Molecule: non-coding RNA, 23 nt
Filed under: Arabidopsis thaliana (thale cress)
Lineage: Eukaryota; Viridiplantae; Streptophyta; Magnoliopsida; Brassicales; Brassicaceae
Source: RNAcentral